This 1571-nucleotide ribosomal RNA is filed under the name Tupaia belangeri (northern tree shrew). RNAcentral describes it as "16S ribosomal RNA". It matches the Rfam family "Bacterial large subunit ribosomal RNA", at positions 426 to 2836 of the family's 2925-position model. The record is from RNAcentral. Lineage: Eukaryota; Metazoa; Chordata; Mammalia; Scandentia; Tupaiidae.
ACUGACCCUAGCCCAAACAACUAUAAACCCAACAAUAACCUCAACCUAAGCUAAAACAUUUAAUCCGCAAGAGUAGUAUAGGAGAUAGAAACUCAACUAAGGCGCUAUAGAGAAAGUACCGUAAGGGAAAGAUGAAAGAUGAAGCAACAGUAAAAAAAAGCAAAGAUUAACCCUUGUACCUUUUGCAUAAUGAACUAGCCAGAAUACGCCUAGCAAAGAGAACUUUAGUUAGACACCCCGAAACCAGACGAGCUACUUACGAGCAGCUAAUAGAGCAAAUUCAUCUAUGUAGCAAAAUAGUGAAGUGACUUGUGAGUAGAGGUGAAAAGCCAACCGAGCCUGGUGAUAGCUGGUUGUCCAGUACAGAAUUUCAGUUCAACCUUAAGUCCAUGCCUGAAGAAAAUUUAAUCCUAAUGUAUACUUAAGCGUUAAUCUAAGGGGGUACAGCUCCUUAGAACCAGGAAAAACCUUAAUUAGAGAGUAAAAACAUAUAAACCCAUAGUUGGCUUAAAGGCAGCCAUCAAUUGAGAAAGCGUUCAAGCUCAACAGUUCAAAUCAAUAAUAAUACCAUAAUUAGCAACCAACUCCUAAACCGAAACUGGACUAAUCUACACCAAUGUAGAUGAGAUAAUGCUAGUAUUAGUAACGAGAAAUCAUUCUCCCUGCACAAGCCUAUAUCAGACCGGAUGCCCACUGAUAGUUAACAACGUAAUAAAUAUAAGCACAACUCAAGAUUACUUAUUAUGUAGACUGUUGGCCCGACACAGGAGUGCACAAAACUUAAGGGAAAGAUUAAAAAGAGUAAAAGGAACUCGGCAAACUCAAACCCCGCCUGUUUACCAAAAACAUCACCUCUAGCAUAAAAAGUAUUAGAGGCAAUGCCUGCCCAGUGACACAAGUUAAACGGCCGCGGUAUCCUGACCGUGCAAAGGUAGCAUAAUCAUUUGUUCCUUAAAUAGGGACUUGUAUGAACGGCCACACGAGGGUUUAACUGUCUCUUACUCUCAAUCAGUGAAAUUGACCUCCCCGUGAAGAGGCGGGGAUACAAAAAUAAGACGAGAAGACCCUAUGGAGCUUUAAUUAACCAACUCACAUGCAACAGACACAACUCGAUAUGGGAUAAACAAUGCAUUCUGAGCUGGCAAUUUCGGUUGGGGUGACCUCGGAGAAUAGAAAAUCCUCCGAAGCUAACAAGCCUAGACACUACAAGUCAAAGCACCAUACCAAGCAAUUGAUCCAACAAGUUGAUCAAUGGAACCAGUUACCCUAGGGAUAACAGCGCAAUCCUAUUAUAGAGUCCAUAUCGACAAUAGGGUUUACGACCUCGAUGUUGGAUCAGGACAUCCUAAUGGUGCAGCCGCUAUUAACGGUUCGUUUGUUCAACGAUUAAAGUCCUACGUGAUCUGAGUUCAGACCGGAGUAAUCCAGGUCGGUUUCUAUCUAUUAGAUGCUCCUCCCAGUACGAAAGGACAAGAGGAACAGGGCCAACUCACCAAGCACGCCCUAAACUGAAUGGAUGAGUAAAUCUAAACCUAGAAGGUUAUCGCAACCCCUGCCCAAGAGCAGGGCUU